Molecule: ribosomal RNA, 276 nt
Filed under: uncultured prokaryote
Description: partial 16S ribosomal RNA
Rfam family: Bacterial small subunit ribosomal RNA
Source: RNAcentral
UACGUAGGGGCAAGCGUUGUCCGGAAUUAUUGGGCGUAAAGCGCGCGCAGGCGGUCCUUUAAGUCUGAUGUGAAAGCCCACGGCUUAACCGUGGAGGGUCAUUGGAAACUGAGGGACUUGAGUACAGAAGAGGAGAGUGGAAUUCCACGUGUAGCGGUGAAAUGCGUAGAGAUAUGGAGGAACACCAGUGGCGAAGGCGGCUUCCUGGUCUGUAACUGACACUGAGGCGCGAAAGCGUGGGGAGCAAACAGGAUUAGAUACCCGGGUAGUCCCUGA